AAGGGAAGAAGCAGGCGGUGAGGGCGGCGGAGAUCAUUGCAUCAGUUCAUGGGGUCGCUCGAAGAAGGCUUGGAGACCCUCAAUUAUCUGGACAACAUGCAGAACAGGAAAUGUUGUACUAGAGCAAGGGGAUGCUAUAACAUUUGAAUCGGAGAUGGACAAGAUAUAUCUUAGCACUCCUACAAAGAUUGCAAUUAUGGAUCAUGAGAAGAACAGAACAUUUGUAAUACGCAAAGAUGGUCUUCCAGAUGCCGUGGUGUGGAAUCCUUGGGAUAAGAAGGCAAAGGCUAUGGCUGAUUUGGAGAUGAUGAGUACAAACAUAUGCUCUCUGCAGAGGCUGCUGAUAUUGAGAGACCUAUCACAUUGAAAACUGAAGAGGAGUGGAGAGGGGGGCUGGAGCAAGGUGCGAAAGGAUUGCUUUUUGAACAUUUAUCCUUUGGUUUUACACUAUUCCUUAUCAAAAUGAUAACGUUUGGAAUUGGUUCCCUUGACACUAUUCUUUACCAUUUAUUUAUAUGUAAAUGAUAUAGAUUAUUUUGGACUGGUUUAG
Molecule: long non-coding RNA, 550 nt
Organism: Rosa rugosa (rugosa rose)
Lineage: Eukaryota; Viridiplantae; Streptophyta; Magnoliopsida; Rosales; Rosaceae
Exons: 4
Source: RefSeq, a predicted model, not a curated record